AAAAUGACAAACAUAAUGUUGAUAUUAUACCAUUCAUUUAGAAUCUAUUAAACAUAUCCUCGUUUAUAGCACACAAAAUUGCAGUGAAUUUAAAUAUUUGAAUAAAAAGACGAGUAUCAUUUGAGGAAGAGAAUUUCCAUCUUGAUUCCGUACACAAAUAAAUAUGGAUUAUAAAGUAAAAGAGAAAACAACGGUAAAGACAAAGACAAUGGAUACUGUGUUUGUUAAUGACACUCCAAUAACCAAGAUCAGUGAAACAAAGCACACGCAAAAAGUAUUAAAGGAGUUUGAAACGAUGGCGACUGAAGUCAAACGACAAAAGACAGAAGUUGAUUUGAUGAGGAAAGAUAUACAGACCGUUGUCAAACAAAACAAACCAUCCCACGAUGACAUAUUGAAAGAACUGGAUGAUUUGAGAAUUGCACUGGAGCAAAAAGACAAGCUUCUACGAUCUGCGCAUGACGAACUUUUUGCUAGAAUCGGACAGAGACAACUUGGAUGAAAAAAUUAUCAAACUGAAAGCUGAGAUCGAAGAGAAAGAUGCAACAAUCAUGAAACUUCGUCAUAAAAUUAAGAAAUUUGAUAAGUUCAGAGAAGAAAUGCUGACCGAAAAUAAGAAAACCAGAGAAGAACUUACCGGGAAACUGGAUAACGUAACAGGAGAGCUGGAGUUCAUGCGUGAUGAGUUCAAGUUCAUGCAUUCUGCAAUGAAUGAACUGUUAACUGGAGCUAGGAAAGAAAAUAACAAGAAGAAACAAAGUGGUUGGAACAACUCUCCAAAUACCCAUAAUACCCAGAAUGCAAAGCAAAAGAAGAAACCAUAGCAACAUGUGCUUGUUGUCUACACAUUUUUCAUCUGUUAAAAGAACACGUGUCAAACGAUGCUAAUUCUGGCGAAUAUAACAAUUAUUGACAAUUAAGGAUGUUUGCUCCUCUUGUUUUUGAAUAUUUGCCAAAUUUUCGUAAUCCUCUGGUUUUAUCCAUGUAUUGCCAUUAAAAAAAAUUUGCCCACUAACCCCUACUUUUCUUUUCAUAAUUUUAUUACAUAUAGUUUAAAAAGCCAUAUUUGAAAAUCUUAUAAAAUCCUUGUUAUUUUUUCAUAGUUUUUGAAACAAAAAAGGGGCCAAUGUUAUGAAGUAUGAAAAGUCUAGAGAGAAUAAUUUCCCGCCAAAUUUUCAAUGGCUUAUACGGACCCUUCAUUUUUUUCUGCUUUUUUAGUUCUUUUAUUUAUAUACUAUCAUUUUAGAACAGUCUUUUAAAAGGCUUGUUAUAUUGAAACAGAGUAGCGAACAUCCUUAAAUAUAUUUGUAUAAUGAAACAGUUAACCACUCCUUGUCAGUUAUCAUACUGCACACUUUAUGAAGCCUAAUUAGAAUUAAAUAAUAAAAGAAGUUUCUUUUUCUUCA
Mytilus californianus (California mussel) is the source of this 1406-nucleotide long non-coding RNA. RefSeq lists it as uncharacterized. The record is from RefSeq and is a predicted model, not a curated record. The transcript has 2 exons. NCBI's taxonomy places the organism in Eukaryota, Metazoa, Mollusca, Bivalvia, Mytilida, Mytilidae.